RNAcentral lists this long non-coding RNA (979 nucleotides) under Oryza sativa (Asian cultivated rice). Its description in RNAcentral is "long non-coding RNA (OSAT_LNC001157)". Lineage: Eukaryota; Viridiplantae; Streptophyta; Magnoliopsida; Poales; Poaceae. The record is from RNAcentral.
UACGACUCAUAUAAAAGUGAAAAGAUUUGCACUCUACAGUAUCUCCAGUAGGAAGUUAUACAACACCAAGGAAGCAAAAGAGAUUUAUAAUCAUCUGAAGCUGCAAAGCGAUUCCCAUCAAAAAAAAAAAAAAACCUGCAAAGCGAUGGUUAUGUCAACUCCAAGUUGGCAGAUAUCAGAUUCUUCAGCAAUUGAUUUAUAUAGUAAUAAAUCAGUGAUAUGUUUUAUUCACCUCCAGCGGAAGUAGUUCAUACCAUCUACCAUGCCUGUCUCUAGAAUGACACAAUGAGCUCGUGUUAAACUUGCUUGAGUACUACCUGCUUGAGAGGUCCAUCAUCACCUCAUCAGUUGGUCAAUAUUCACAGCCUAGGGCUAGUUGCUUCUCCAUCCUUUACCAGUUGCUCUUCAAUAAAUAAACAAACGAUUUUCAGUUGCUUCUCCAUCAUAAUAAGACCCAAGGAUUGAUACAUGUUGCUCUUCAAUAAAUAAACAAAUGAUUUUCCGUUCGUGCAUGCAAGCUUUCACAUUACCCCAAAACAUGGUGUUUUGUGAAACAAACUUCAAGAUCUGUGGUUUUGUGAUACCCAUGGACAAAACCUGAGGUUUUGCAGAAUUUACUCAACUAAAUACUAGUAACUAAUUAGUCCAAACCCAAAAGGACCCAAAAGGGUAGGCCUUUCAAUUCACACACACUUCAUUUUGAAGACAGAUUUAUGUUGGUAAACAUGUAACGUAAACAAAUUAGAAGACCAUUGGAAACCAAGAUAGUUCAAGCUUUAACUGGAAAGAAGAAAUUAUUGAUUACCCAAUCCCCAACCAUUCUCUAGUCUAUGUUCAGAUCAUGAAAUUUCACUGGCAUUUUCUGGUAGUGUAACUUGCUGCAUUUGCAAAUUGCAAACAUAGUCACAAGGCUUCAGGCAUUCCUUCAGUGCAUGAAUGUACAGAGCACAGUCAACAGCAAGAAUUAUCUCUAUCUGUC